This is a long non-coding RNA of Leptopilina boulardi, 1333 nucleotides long. RefSeq lists it as uncharacterized. NCBI's taxonomy places the organism in Eukaryota, Metazoa, Arthropoda, Insecta, Hymenoptera, Figitidae. The transcript has 3 exons. The record is from RefSeq and is a predicted model, not a curated record.
UUCCAGAAGAAAAUAAAACCCAACAUUAUUGUUGAUAGUAAAAUAAUAAAUUUUUUUUUUUUUUUUACUUUUGUCGUCAAUAUACGCGUUCUGUCACAAAUCAAAAACGUUGUUUAGUGAAAUGAUUUGCGGGGAUAGGCAUUAAUGAAAUAAUGUGUGAAAUUCGUUAUCCCGGAGGAAAUUGCGUGGGUAACGCCACGAGGAAACAGGAAAUGUCACUGGUGACAAGCUUUGAGUUAUGCACAAUUGACAGAGCGAGAAUUUUACAUAUAUAUACAAGUGUCAUUUGUAAGAGCUCAUACUCAAAGUAAAAUACAAUAAUGACUUUUCUUGACACCUAAGACGUGAAGCAACUAAUAAUAAUAUCACACCUAAUAUGAAAAGAUCAAUCCAUGCAACGGUGUUCGAGUAAUUCGUCCUCCCAGUUUGAAAAAAGUGGUUUCGAGAAAAACGCGUUUAAAGUAUAGAACGAACACACAAUGGGCCAGCAGACCUUUACAAUGUUCUAAAAUUCAUAAUUUCCGGAGUACAACAAAUUUAAAGCUUUUCAUGACGAAUUCUAUAGUUUUUGGGGUCACUGAUUACAAAUCUGUAGUCAGAUUUUGAAAAUUAAAAAUUGCGGAUCCAACAUGGCGUUGCUCAGUGUUCAGUCAUGACGCCUAUAUGAUGCAUUAGUGACACUCAAAGGGUUAAAAAAAAAUUUUUUCGCCAUAGGAUCACCUGCCUAUUGUUUCUACAAUCCUAAAGUACAUUUUAACAAAAAAAAAAAUCGUUUUUUUUUGAAAAUUCUAGAGUGGUGUUACAUCUUAAGUUUUUUUUCAACGUUAAUUUAGUCAUUGUGCAUCUAAAGUUAUUAUAAUAUCUCUAAUAUUACUCUUGAGUUUUGUGAAUGCAGAGAUUGCAAUUAUUGUUUUAGAAUAUAAAGACUGAAAACGUGUUGGUAUUAAUGACUUACAUACACACACAUAUAAAUACAAGAAUACACAAGACAUUACUGUGUCAAUAUUGAAAUCAACAAUUUGUAUUGAACAAUCGUAACACAAUCGAUUCCAAUUCUAGGAUUCAAAGCUAUUCUCAGUACCUUUAUGUGUGUGUAUCAAAUACUUAUCUCUGUACACUUUACAUGAAUGUAAACUUGCAUAACUUCUCAUAUCUGCUCUUUAUGUAAUUGUUAUUUCGCCUGUCAAGUCAAGUAAUUUAUUGUUUCUUUUUCUUUUCUAAAAUCCUUAUUUCCAACGAUACUGAAAUCCACAACUUUUAUUAACAAUUAGAAAAAAAAUUAUUUUUUAACAUGGGGAAUUAUAAAAAAUUAAUUUAUUUAAAAGAAUGUACG